AUGGGGGAUCUGCACUCCUUCCUUCUCUCACAGCCCCCGGAACACUUAGCCUCUGGUUUUGUCCAUCUCCCAGGCCGGGACCAGAGCUGGGGAGGUGGGAGCGAGACCCAAGCAGAAACCCAGGUGCCAGAAGUGAGCGACCAGCAAACCUGCCCCAUCUGGUGGGGACCAGGUUUCCGAGCUGUCCGUCCCCAGGGCUGGUGUGUUUCAGUCAAGUUCCUGAUUUUUGCCACAUUGGAAAGGUUGGAGGUGAGGAAAGGGAUUGGCUCCUGUUACCCAUCUCCUGGCUACUUCAAGAAGCAGCAUGCAAAGUCCCCAACCCUCGGAGGGCUUCUCCCUUCCGUCCUCAAGUUAGGCCACCCCGAAUGCCCCAGUUGUGUAAGCCGUGGCCAUCUUCACGGGCACUUUCCCAGAAUGGCCACCCGAUGCUCCUCUCCUGUCUCUUGUCCUGCUGAGGGAUUCCACCAAAGGGCUGCGCUGAAUUAAGUGCUGGAGGCUGGGAUAGUUACAAGAUUAUCAGGUCAGGCACAGACCCUAUCCCACCAGGGAUUCGCUAAGAAAGGGGGAGAACACAUCAGUAAUCCCCAUUUCACAGGUGAGGAAACUGAGGCACAGAAGUUAAAUGUCAAAGAAGUCAAAGUUAAGUGUCAAAGCUAAAGAAGCUUAAGGUCACAGAGGGGACACAAUUGUGGGGUCCGCAAAGAAGCGUGGACAAGCUGGGAAUGACCCGCCAGAGAAAUGGGGUGAGGGGGGACCCCCAGCAGGGUUAGGGUUUGAGGCAGGAGGAGGGGAGUCGGCUAGGAGGAGGAAGAACGAAACUGGUCUCUACCACAACUGGCUCCAUAUCUCCCUGCUUCAUCCCCUCCUCCUCCCUCUCCCCAGCCAGACCCCUCUGUACUCACACACUGGAGUUGUGUAAUAUAUAUUUUUUUUAAGAAACAAUGGUUGUCGGUUUUGUUGUUUUUACAGGUGCUGUGGAAAAAAAAUGUAAGAAAGUUUAAGUAUUUAAAUAUGUUCCCAGAAAAAAAAAAAUAAGGACGGGGCUUUUUUUGUUGUUCUUAUUCUAAUAUAUUAUUGUGUACCUAGUGUAAAUAUGAUACACUCCUAUUUUGCAAGCCAAGGACACACUUUGUACUGUUGUUAUAAAUAAAUAAAGUUUACUGGAUAAAAAAAAACAAUCCCAAACCAGCCAGAUCUGGAGAGAUCCCUGAUUUUUCCAGUCGGUCAGCUCCGGGGUUGCGGGGGGAAACCGAGGAGCCGUAGGCUUGGGUCAGAGCCGGCGCGACCGUGGGAAAAGGGACCUGAGCGCUGGCGGGGCGCCGCCCGCGCCCUCCCACAGAAGGCAGCCAGCGCCCCUUAGCGCCCACGUCGCAGAAGGCAGCGUUCCUCGCUCGGGGAAACGGUGCUAAUGAUUAUUAUUAAUAAUAAAAAUAAUGUUGCUAUUUGUUAAGCGCUUACUACGUGCGGAGCACUGUUGUAAGCCCUGGGGGAGAUGCAGGGUAAUCAGGUGGUCCCACGUGAGGCUCACGGUCUUCAUCCAUAAGCCCGUCAAAGGGCAGGGACUGUCUCUCUCUGUUGCCGACUUGUACAUCCCAAGCGCUUUGUACAGUGCUCUGCACACAGUAAGCGCUCAAUAAAUACUAUUGAAUGAAUCCCCAUUUUGCAGAUGAGGUCACUGAGGCCCAGAGAAGUGAACUGACUUGCCCACAGUCACACAGCUGACGAGUGGCAGAGCCGGGAUUCGAACCCGUGACCUCUGAUUCCCAAGCUCGUGCUCUUAUCAUUUAUUCAAUCUUAUUAAUAAUAAUAAUAAUAAUAAUAAUGUUGGUAUGUUUUAAACGCUUACUACGUGCAGAGCACUGUUCUAAGCGCUGGGGGAGAUGCAGGGUAAUCAGGUUGUCCCACGUGAGGCUCACAGUCUUCAUCCCCAUUUUGCAGAUGAAGUCACUGAGGCCCAGAGAAAUGAAGUGACUUGCCCACAGUCACACAACUGACGAGUGGCAGAGCCAGGAUUCGAACCCGUGACCUCUGACUCCCAAACCCGUGCUCUCAUUAUUUAUUCAACCUUAAUAAUAAUAAUAACAAUGUUGGUAUUUGUUAAGCACUUACGUGCAGAGCACUGUUCUAAGCGCUGGGGGAGAUACAGGGUCAUCAGGUUGUCCCACGUGAGGCUCACAGUUAAUCCCCAUUUUACAGAUGAGGUCACUGAGGCCCAGAGAAGUGAAGCGACUUGCCCACAGUCACACAGCUGACGAGUGGCAGAGUCGGGAUUCGAACCCACGACCUCGGACUCCAAAGCCCGGGCUCUUUCCACUGAGCCACGCUGCUUCUACUGAAUGAAUCUUUCAUUCAUUCAAUCGUAUUGAUUGAGUGCUUGCUGUGUGUAGAGCACGGUAAGAAGCGUUUGGAAAGUACAGUUCGGCAACAGAGGCAAUCCCUACCCAACAAAGGGCUCACAGGCUAGAAGAGGGU
This 2472-nucleotide long non-coding RNA is filed under the name Ornithorhynchus anatinus (platypus). RNAcentral's name for it is "lncRNA (ENSOANG00000047711.1)". Lineage: Eukaryota; Metazoa; Chordata; Mammalia; Monotremata; Ornithorhynchidae. The record is from RNAcentral.